AGCAGCCGCGGUAAUUCCAGCUCCAAUAGCGUAUAUUAAAGUUGUUGCAGUUAAAAAGCUCGUAGUUGAAUUUCGGGAUCAAUAUAUCGGUCGUGCCUUUGGUACGUACUGGUAUCAUUGAUUUCUCCCUUCUGACGAAUCAUGAUGUCAUUAAUUUGGUGUUAUGAGGAGUUAGGACUGUUACUUCGAAAAAAUUGAGUGUUUAAAGCAGGCAUUAGCUUGAAUACAUUAGCAUGGAAUAAUGAAAUAGGACGUUUGACCCUAUUUUGUGGUUUCUAGGAUCGACGUAAUGAUUAAUAGGGAUAGUUGGGGGCAUUAGUAUUCAAUUGUCAGAGGUGAAAUUCUUGGAUUUAUUGAAGACUAACUACUGCGAAAGCAUUUGCCAAGGAUGUUUUCAUUAAUCAAGAACGAAAGUUAGGGAUCGAAGACGAUCAGAUACCGUCGUAGUCUUAACCAUAAACUAUGCCGACUAGGGAUCGGAUGAUGUUAUUUAUAUGACUCAUUC
This 505-nucleotide ribosomal RNA is filed under the name uncultured Glomus. RNAcentral describes it as "SSU rRNA". It matches the Rfam family "Eukaryotic small subunit ribosomal RNA", at positions 569 to 1081 of the family's 1831-position model. Lineage: Eukaryota; Fungi; Glomeromycota; Glomeromycetes; Glomerales; Glomeraceae. The record is from RNAcentral.